GACGAACGCUGGCGGCGUGCUUAACACAUGCAAGUCGAACGAUGAAGCCUAGCUUGCUAGGUGGAUUAGUGGCGAACGGGUGAGUAAUACGUGAGUAACCUACCUUUAACUCUGGGAUAAGCCUGGGAAACUGGGUCUAAUACCGGAUACGACCAAUCUCCGCAUGGAGUGUUGGUGGAAAGCGUUAUGUAGUGGUUAUAGAUGGGCUCACGGCCUAUCAGCUUGUUGGUGAGGUAACGGCUCACCGAGGCGACGACGGGUAGCCGGCCUGAGAGGGUGACCGGCCACACUGGGACUGAGACACGGCCCAGACUCCUACGGGAGGCAGCAGUGGGGAAUAUUGCACAAUGGGCGCAAGCCUGAUGCAGUGACGCCGCGUGAGGGAUGACGGCCUUCGGGUUGUAAACCUCUGUUAGCAGGGAAGAAGAGAAAUUGACGGUACCUGCAGAGAAAGCGCCGGCUAACUACGUGCCAGCAGCCGCGGUAAUACGUAGGGCGCGAGCGUUGUCCGGAAUUAUUGGGCGUAAAGAGCUUGUAGGCGGUUUGUCGCGUCUGCUGUGAAAGGCCGGGGCUUAACCCCGUGUAUUGCAGUGGGUACGGGCAGACUAGAGUGCAGUAGGGGAGACUGGAACUCCUGGUGUAGCGGUGGAAUGCGCAGAUAUCAGGAAGAACACCGAUGGCGAAGGCAGGUCUCUGGGCUGUAACUGACGCUGAGAAGCGAAAGCAUGGGGAGCGAACAGG
Molecule: ribosomal RNA, 741 nt
Filed under: Rothia mucilaginosa
Lineage: Bacteria; Bacillati; Actinomycetota; Actinomycetes; Micrococcales; Micrococcaceae
Description: bacterial SSU rRNA
Rfam family: Bacterial small subunit ribosomal RNA
Source: RNAcentral